UCAGCCAACGUGUCAGCACAAAAGCCUUCAAAGCAAGCAAGGCGAUGGUGGGUGAGACCGUCCCUUCGCUCGCGAGAAGUGGCCGUCCACACAGGGCGUCUGCUCUUGCGCUCGCACGACGAGGAGAAUUUCCGAGAUUAGCUUCAUGCGGAUGCCGCCACGAACGUUCGAUGCUGUGCUCGAACUGCUGCGCCCCGCAAUAUCCAAGCAGGACACAAACCACCGGCUUACAAUUUCGGCGCACGACUGCCUGGCCAUGACCAUUAGGUAUGCCAAGGAAGUGCGAGAUAAAUUGGCGCACUACUUCGUCACAGACGGUCAGGUGCCUUGGCAGGACAAAGUGGUGAACAGCACUUGAGGCGUACAAGGUGAAGGUG
This is a long non-coding RNA of Rhipicephalus microplus (southern cattle tick), 377 nucleotides long. The record is from RefSeq and is a predicted model, not a curated record. Lineage: Eukaryota; Metazoa; Arthropoda; Arachnida; Ixodida; Ixodidae.